This 2507-nucleotide long non-coding RNA is filed under the name Erythranthe guttata (spotted monkey flower). RNAcentral describes it as "long non-coding RNA (EGUT_LNC003825)". Lineage: Eukaryota; Viridiplantae; Streptophyta; Magnoliopsida; Lamiales; Phrymaceae. The record is from RNAcentral.
GCGUAGAAUUUGACGGUGUUCGGCCGGAAAAUGAACCAGAUGACGAGGACGGCGAGUCCGGCGAUGAUGAGGAUGGUGAAGACGAUCUGGCAGAUGCAGGUGCAGAUGCAGUUCAUGAUGCAGCUGCAGCAGCAGCUGAAGGGGUUGCAGCAGCAUCCGCCGCCGCCGCCGUCGCGGCCGGGGCGGUGGUAGGUCUUGGACGGCGGCGGAAUGGAGGGGCCGUAGUAGGCGCCGUUCAGAUGCGGUUGUUGUCGAGUUUCUCCCAUUGGUGGAGAAAACUUUUGGGGGAGCGGUUGAGGGUUUGGGCGUAGCAGAUAUUUUUGUGUGGGGUUCAGAUUAAAUAGGUUUCUAACUCUUUAUUUGUACAAUAGAAUAAAAAAAAAUUAAAAAAAAAAAAAAAAAAAAAAAAAAAAAAAAAACCAUUUGUGUAUUUAUUGGGAAAACUUUCCUUCUAUUUUUGAAAGCAAAUUGGAGUUAUUAGAAUGUUUAUCUUUUAAUUAAGAUGAUUAAGAUAUAUUAACAUUUGAGAUUAGAUUAUAUUAGUCAUGGACUAGGAGUCUAGGACCCAUAAUUAAAUUAAAUUCGAUUUUAUCAAUUGGGAAUCUUCUUGGACUUGUAGCUGUAAUUGUGGGCUUGUAGUUAUGAUUUUGGGUUUAGGCCCAUUAGUAGCAAAUUAUAGGAAUUUGAAAUCCAAAUAAGUGAUCUCGAAUUGCAUGGAUUUUGCAAUUAAAGAUCGAGCUAUCUUAAUUUCAUUCAUACAAAUCCAAACUGAGCAAUUUGUUUAGUCUAAAUAAAACAAAAAAAAAAAAAAAGUUUACCUAAUGUACCUAUGUGGUUGGUUGCAGAUUCUUUAAUUACUAAAAAGGAAAAAAAAAACGAAGCUCCAAAGCUAUUUAAAAUUUACUACAUUUUCGAAGCAAAUAAGAGUAUAAGACAAACAACAAAACCCGGAUAUCAAUCUCCCGUCGAAUUAAAGAAUCUCACAUUGCAUAAAAACCUUAUAAAUUGAACAUUAAAAUCAUAUACGUUAAUUUGUCUAGCUUAUAUAUAACAUAAGAUUGAAAAGCUUCUCAAUUGUAUAUUCCUUCCUUCCUCUAAAAAAGAAUAUAUAUUCCUUAUUUUGAAAUUUUCCCAGAUUCCCUUUUUCAAAUAUAUUGUCAAAAUAAAAAUUAAAAACGACCAAAUCAUAGCACAUAUUUUGAAGAAGUAUAAAACCUUUCAUUUUUUAUUUUUUUUAUUUUAGUUUGACAAUUCAGUAAAUAUAUUAAUAUAUAAUCUUUCAAGUAAGCAAUUUUUUUGUAUUAUCUCAUUUUAUUCCUUUUUAUUCAAAGCAAGUUUAUAGGGACGUCUGACCUGCCACAUGCUCACUUAUUAAUAUUAUUGUCAACUUGUGCUGCCAAUUCAAUGUUUUAAUUUACACUGCAACGUGAAGAAAGCCGUUUUUUUAUAAUACUCCUGAUUAUCUAUAUGAUUGAAUGGAUUUGUUUCGUAUAUUUGAUCAAAUAACUACCAAAUAAGUAUACAUAUACACACAUGAGUGUGUAAUUAUUUGUAGAUUUAUGGUUCAAAUUCACCUAGUGUAAUAACUAUUUCUAAAUACACCCGAUAAAAAAAUCAUGGAAGUAACAGAAUGAAAACUAGUCGUUAUUUAUUCACAAAGAACACGUAUGAAAAAUGAAAUAUGUAUGAUCGGAGGACGAUCGUAUAAUUUCAUGACUAAACAAAAGAAUAAUCGUAUAGAAUAGCAAAAUGAUAUAUAAGAGGUAAAUCAACGCACACGAAAAAAUCGAAUUAAAGCAGUAUAUCGGAGAAUAUAUAUAUAUCGGAAAAUGUGUAUAAGUGCGAUCAGCGCCAAUCGAAAUCACACCUCUCGGGUUCGUAAACCCCAGACGCCGACGCGGUGCCGUUGGAAGUCAACGGGAUUUUCAAAUCGCAGUCAAUCUUCGGCUUCACCCUCCAUGAUUUCACGAACCUGAACUUCAAUCGGAUCUUCAGAUACAGCUUCACGUCGAUUUCGUAUCUGCCGGAGAUUUUCUCUUCGUUGUAGUCCUUCAUCUCUUUGGUUCCGAGGAGGACGAUUUGCUGGCCUUUGAAUUCGGCGAUCUGAGAAGUGGUGUUCUUGUGGCCCUGGUAGAAAUUGGGGAGCUGCACGGUGGAGAAUCUCUGGCCGUGGUAAAAAGCCCUAGCUUCGAUCUGGUCGUAGUAGAUUCCGAUUCGCUUGUUAGGGUUUCGGAUCGUGAGGUUCAGAGCCAGAUUGUAGUGGAGCGUGCUGUUGUCGAGGGUGAACUGGGUCAGAGUGGCGUCGGCGGCGUAGAAUUUGACGGUGCUCGGCCGGAAAAUGAGCCAGAUGAUGAGGACGGCGAGUCCGACGAUGAUGAGGAUGGUGAAGAUGAUCUGGAAGACGCAGGUGCAGAUGCAGUUCGCGAUGCAGCUGCAGCAGCAGCUGAACGGGUUGCAGCAGCAUCCGCCGCCGCCGCGGCCGGGGCGGUAGGAGGACUUGGCCGGCG